AUACUAUCAUAAGUGCCGUAGACAGCAGGUGUUUAUACGUAAAGGCUUUUGCUUACCUGCCGAGGAUUUAUCGUUUGAAUUUUCAACCUCUCUCGGCUACUAGCGUGAGAGGUUUUUUUAUA
This 122-nucleotide small RNA is filed under the name human gut metagenome. Its description in RNAcentral is "Ribosomal protein L10 leader". It matches the Rfam family "Ribosomal protein L10 leader". From Rfam's summary of the family: This family is a putative r-protein leader autoregulatory structure found in B. subtilis and other low-GC Gram-positive bacteria. It is located in the 5' untranslated regions of mRNAs encoding ribosomal proteins L10 and L12 (rplJ-rplL). RNAcentral also lists the same sequence under 1 other name. The record is from RNAcentral.